GAUUUUCUUUGUCAAUUUCUUCAAUUCUGUGCUUCACAUACUUGAAUUGGCUACCUGCAAAGGAUGGAUUGUUCAGAUUUGUUACAGGCAUGCAUAUAUUGACUAUUGUUACACAAAUUGGCGGGAUUUCAACGUUGCUGAUGGCCUGGGGAAUAACCUUUUGGAUGAGAUCGUCAUUGUCAAGGACAAAAGCCUUGAACAGCUUGGCUGGAGGGACAGGGGAGGUAACCUCCAGGUCAUAAGCUGCCACUCCCAUGAUCCUAGAAAAUAGCAAGAAAAGGAAGCACAGAAAGGAGCAGGUGGGGGAGGAGGAUUGAUUGAUUGAUAGUCCGUUCUGAGGCGAGAAAAUGUGGGUAAACAACAGAUGUAUUUAUAGAUUGAUGCUAACUAAUGAUUAUGGGAAAUAUCACCUGCAAUUUCUUGACUUGUUGGGGA
Long non-coding RNA from Hevea brasiliensis (rubber tree), 435 nucleotides. RefSeq lists it as uncharacterized. The transcript is spliced from 2 exons. The record is from RefSeq and is a predicted model, not a curated record. NCBI's taxonomy places the organism in Eukaryota, Viridiplantae, Streptophyta, Magnoliopsida, Malpighiales, Euphorbiaceae.